CGACCGGCGCACGGGUGAGUAACACGUAUGCAACCUGCCCUCUUCAGGGGGACAACCUUCCGAAAGGGAGGCUAAUCCCGCGUAUAUCGGUUUCGGGCAUCCGAGAUCGAGGAAAGAUUCAUCGGAAGAGGAUGGGCAUGCGGCGCAUUAGCUAGACGGCGGGGUAACGGCCCACCGUGGCGACGAUGCGUAGAGGUUCUGAGAGGAAGGUCCCCCACACUGGUACUGAGACACGGACCAGACUCCUACGGAAGGCAGCAG
This 261-nucleotide ribosomal RNA is filed under the name uncultured bacterium. RNAcentral describes it as "partial 16S ribosomal RNA". It matches the Rfam family "Bacterial small subunit ribosomal RNA", at positions 92 to 354 of the family's 1533-position model. The record is from RNAcentral.